Molecule: long non-coding RNA, 1955 nt
Filed under: Nicotiana tabacum (common tobacco)
Lineage: Eukaryota; Viridiplantae; Streptophyta; Magnoliopsida; Solanales; Solanaceae
Description: long non-coding RNA (NTAB_LNC017316)
Source: RNAcentral
UGAAUUCCUGAUUUUAAUUGGUGAGAAAUGAUCCUGAUAAAAAAUAGAAAACAUAACGGGAACAAGUUAUUUUCGAAAGAAAAAACUGCAGCACUUUGACUAUAUUUCAAAUAAUCUUGGAUGAUAAUGUAGUAUGUCAAAUAUUUAAUGAACAUGUAGCCUAUUUUCUAUAUGUUAGUAGUGGUGCUAGCGUUAUUCUUUAUGUUGUUAUUACAUGGUGUGUAUAUUGCUCUUUAUCGAGAAAUCGAAGAAGCUAUACAGGGGUUUUCUCGGGCCUAUUCAUCUGGUACCUAACGUAAUUCUAUGAUACCCGUGGGACUUCGGGGCUCUCCGGUUCAGCUAGGUCCAUAGUUCCGGAAUUUAUACGCGAAUCAAGAUCGAUAAAAGGAAGUUUUACAAUCACCGACUCCCUCCAAAUGCGUUAUAUUGGGCUUUUGACCUGAUUUGUCAACAACGGGUCUUGGCGCCUUGGCUGCUGCUUAAACAGGACAUCCUAUCAGAAGCCCGUGUAUAUUAGUCAAAGAUGUGACUUUCACAGGUCCGAUGGCUUUUUGACUGGUGUGCCUGAAAAUGUGAUUGAUAAAUGGGCUUUUGAAACUCGAUUUGUUUGAGUAAGAGUUAGCUCGUCUAUCGAGCCGAGGUUUUUUUUGGAAACAGCCUCCCUACCUGAGGCUACCUCUGGAGUAGGGGUAAGUUAUGCAUACACUAUAUCCUUCCUAGACUCCACUAGUGGGAUUCUAUUGAGUUAUUGUUGUUGUUGUAGUAAGAGUUAGAUACAAAUAUCAGCUUUCGGGUGCGGCCCUUUCUAGGACCCUGUAUCUGCAUGAACGCGAAAUAUUUUGUGCACCGGGCUAAUUUUUUUUUUUUUUUUUUUUUUUACUGUUUGGUGAAAAAGCAACGGAAGUGGAGACAACUACCCUCUAUAGCCCCUCAAAAAGUUUAAUAGCCCAUGUUUUUUUCACUUACAAGAAAUGGCCUUCGGCCCAAACUUAUUGCAUCCAAUAGCUCGAAAUAUCUACUUUAUAUAUUUUUUGUAUAGUGACGGUCUGUUUUGUAUAUUUUUUUGUGUAUUGAUAAUCUAUUUUGUAUAUUCUUUGUAUAGUGACACUCUAUUUUAUAUAUUUUUUUGUAUAAUGACAGUUUAAUGUAUAUAAAUUAUAUAGUGACAAUCUAUUUUGUAUAUAAAUUGUAUAGUUAUAAUCUAUGUUGUAUAUUUUUUGUAUAAUGACAGUCUAUUUUGUAUAUAUUUUGUAUAAUCAUAGUCUAUUUUUUAUAUUUUUUGUAUAGUGAUAGUUUUGUUUAGUAUGUAUUUUGUUUCCAAUUAUCACUUUCAGAAACAUGUUUCAAUACGUAAAAUAUGUUUGAUUCAUCUUCCAAUGAAGAGAAAAUCAAAAAUUAUCAUAGCCUCAUUGUAUAUAAAAUGAAACAGAGAGUAACAAUAAAUUGAGGAUCAGAUUUGUGUUUAACCUCAGGCAAAAAAAGAGAAUCCAACGACGCCAUGGUUGCAAAAACCCACUGGGAGCAUGCCCCGCCAAGAUAUGGGUCGAGUUAUCUCAAAAUUCCCCGAUUGAUUAAUAAGCUCAGAAGGGAAUGACAAAAUCAUCAUCGCCUUUUUUAGCCGCCGAUUAUACUCACCGACACCGCUUCCACCAGCUCCACCGGCAAACAUAGAUUGCUCCGGCGAAAGCAUUAAAGAAAGAAAAAGAAAAAAAAAAGUGGAAGGGUUGUUACUAAUGCUAUUCUUAUACACUCUACCAAACGACCCCUUAAUAAAAUUGAUAAAAAAGGCUGUUGUUUGGGUUCUUACAGUAUAUGGAGAAAUCAAUGGCUAAUUACAGAGAGAGAGGCAACCGAUCGAGAUGAUAGAAGAGAACGGGGAAAGGAUAGGGAUCGGGAUAGCAGAUUGAGCCUCUUAGUUAAUUACUUUUGAGCUAGCCCCUAGAAUUACUUUUGGG